AACGAACGCUGGCGGCAUGCCUAACACAUGCAAGUCGAACGAGACCUUCGGGUCUAGUGGCGCACGGGUGCGUAACGCGUGGGAAUCUGCCCUUGGGUUCGGAAUAACUCAGAGAAAUUUGAGCUAAUACCGGAUGAUGACGUAAGUCCAAAGAUUUAUCGCCCAAGGAUGAGCCCGCGUAAGAUUAGCUAGUUGGUGAGGUAAAGGCUCACCAAGGCGACGAUCUUUAGCUGGUCUGAGAGGAUGAUCAGCCACACUGGGACUGAGACACGGCCCAGACUCCUACGGGAGGCAGCAGUGGGGAAUAUUGGACAAUGGGCGAAAGCCUGAUCCAGCAAUGCCGCGUGAGUGAUGAAGGCCUUAGGGUUGUAAAGCUCUUUUACCAGGGAUGAUAAUGACAGUACCUGGAGAAUAAGCUCCGGCUAACUCCGUGCCAGCAGCCGCAGUAAGAC
Molecule: ribosomal RNA, 452 nt
Filed under: uncultured bacterium
Lineage: Bacteria
Description: bacterial SSU rRNA
Rfam family: Bacterial small subunit ribosomal RNA
Source: RNAcentral